Sipha flava (yellow sugarcane aphid) is the source of this 293-nucleotide long non-coding RNA. RefSeq lists it as uncharacterized. The record is from RefSeq and is a predicted model, not a curated record. The transcript has 3 exons. NCBI's taxonomy places the organism in Eukaryota, Metazoa, Arthropoda, Insecta, Hemiptera, Aphididae.
AUAACUCAUUUUUUGCAAAAAUCUUAACUUUGUCUUCACUUAUCUUUCUAAAAAUCCAACAAAAAUCAAAAAUGGGCGCUGAAAAGGUAUUCAUGAAUAUUGUUGUCAUCGGACAAGUCCAACCUACCAAGGUCAUCAAAACCGUCACCAAAGCCGCACCAAAAUCUAGAUCAUUAAUAUAUUGUUAACUUAUGUAAACCGUCAAUUUCAAACUCAAAAAUGCCAUAGUCCUAACAAUACUAAUCGUAUGUAAUGUGUAUUGACAUAGCAAAAUAUAUCAGUUUUUUCCGUUA